Molecule: ribosomal RNA, 253 nt
Filed under: uncultured bacterium
Lineage: Bacteria
Description: partial 16S ribosomal RNA
Rfam family: Bacterial small subunit ribosomal RNA
Source: RNAcentral
UACGUAGGGUGCAAGCGUUAUCCGGAAUUAUUGGGCGUAAAGAGCUCGUAGGCGGUUUGUCGCGUCUGCUGUGAAAACCGGAGGCUCAACCUCCGGCCUGCAGUGGGUACGGGCAAACUAGAGUCCAGUAGGGGAGCGUGGAAUUCCAGGUGUAGCGGUGGAAUGCGUAGAUAUCUGGAAGAACACCGGUGGCGAAGGCGGCUCGCUGGGCCAGUUCUGACACUCAUCCGCGAAAGCGUGGGGAGCAAACAGG